GUGCAGCUAAAGGGAGAGCAGAGUAACCAGGAAAGACCACUUGAGCCUCAGGGAGGGAGGCAUACCUCGCUGUGCCAUAUUCAACCAAAGCCCACCAGGUCCAUCUUGUGAAGUCACAAGCCUGAAGUAAGUGGCCCUUUAAGUUUUUUGUGAUGUUCUGAGAGAUUCAGCUUAGUUCACCAUUAGCUCCCAACUGGAUUGUUGCCUGGGUCUCCAAGUCUUCACACUUGCCUGCUUCCCUCCCAUUUCAUUCUCCCUUAUUUUCUCUGAGCGACAGUUACCGACUGGUUCAGAGCACAGUCCUUGAUGUUGCACACAUCUCGUUCAGAUAGUAACCCCACCCUGCUUUGUCGCUGUUGGUGUGAGCUUGGACAAGUUAUUUCACUUCUUUAAGAAUCCUUUCUCUUGACAUUCCCGUCAUGGCUUCGCAGAGACGAAUCUGACUAGUGUCCAUGAGGUUCAAUCCCUAGCCUUUCUCAGUGGGUUAAGGAUCUUAUGUUUCCCUGAGCUGUAGCAUGGGUUUCAGGCAGUGGCCUGAAUCCUGCAUUGCUGCGGCGUAGGCCAGCAGCUGUAGCUCCGAUUUGACCCCUAUCCUAGGAACCUCCAUGUGUCGUGGGCUUGGCCCUAAGAAGACAGAAAAGCAUCUUUUCCUUCAUUUGUAAAAGGGGAGAGUGGUGGUCUCUACUCCUGUAGAUGUCGUGAGAAGCUCCAGAAGUACUAAGUGUAGAGUGGCCCAUGGUAACUCAUAGUAAUUUAGUAAAAUGGCAGAUUAAAAUGGAUUACAACAGUGAUACUGCUACCAUGAGUGCAUGAAGUGAUGGACCAUGGUAUCUAGACUUGAUAGGGAGUUAAGCAGUAGGGUGGCAAUGAGCUGAAGAAUGGGAGAAGUCAAAGGGCGAGAUGUCUUUUGAGAAUUAGAAGUGGGUAUUCUGAGUCACAGGGUUGAGAGGUUGUAGGCAGAGAAUGGGUCAGUGGAGUGCAGGAGUUCUGAAGUGGAUCAAUGUACAGAGUGGUCUAGGACCUUUUAAGAGCUGUAAAUGCCAUGUGAAGUGGCAUGUGGUCAGAGGUUUACAAGUGUUGGAGAUCAAGGGACAGUGAGAUUAGAACUGUGGGCUGAGUCAUCGGUAGUCAUUGAGGUUGUUUAUCUGAUGGCAUGGGUUGGAAUGGAGAGGCAAAUUGAGCUAGUGCUGAGCUAAGGUCCAUGCUCAUUAACAGGGAACAUUUAUUUCACAAAUGUUUACCAAACUCCUAGUAAUGCCAUGGUGUAGCAAGACAGACAAGAGUCCUGCUCUCUGGGAGCUUGCAGUCUAGGAGGAGUGGUAACAGACCUUACUAAUCCUGCCUAUAAAUAGCAAACUGCAAAUUGAGAUAAGAGCCAUAAAGGAAAAAUCAGGGUUCUAUAAGUACUUGUAAGUGGAGGCCCUGACCCUGUCUGAAGUGUCAGGGAAGGCUCCCCUGAAGAAGUGAUGAGAACUGGAAGGAUCAACUGGAGUGGAAAGAGAUAGAAGAGGAAUGAAUGGAGGAAGUAUUCAAGGUAGAGGAGACAAACAGCAUGUGCAGAGACCUGAAGCUAGAACAUGUAUAAGGGACUUGAAGCACUGAAAGGCGUCUCCUAGGACUAGAGCAUCUUAAACAAGGAGAGUAUUGGGAACUGAGGCUGGAUGGUGACCCCCUUAAUUAUUUGGGGUUUUAUGCUAGGAGUGGUGGGAAUACUCCUACUAAAGGGUAUUGAUUAGGUGAAUGACAUAAUUAUAUGGGUCUGUGUUUCUUUUUUAAAAUUUAAAAUUAAACUUACUAAUAUUUCUCUCCAUGUCCUCCGCAAGUAUAGAGGUAUGUCAUUAGGUUGUGACUCUGAUUCCUUAUCUGUAUUCCUUUGACAGACUUUAAGAUGUGGGAGGAGGAGGGUAAUGUCUGCUAGAUAGCUCUAACAUUCCCAGGGGUAACGAAAGUAUCUUUUGCAUUGAGUCAUUUGGAAAAUAUUUAUAAAAAUCCGAAUCAAAGCACAACAGUCUUCCUUGUAUUUUACAUGUCAUUUGGUGUCAUAACCCUGAGGUGGACAUCCAUGAGUCUAUGUAGAGGAUUUUUUUUUUACUUUUCUUUUUUCCUUUUAUUUCACAGAAUUAUUUCCUCCCCUUAAGUUGAUCCCUGUAGCCACACAUCAUAGGAGCAGCCAGUUAUUCUCUCUUAACUACAGAAAUACGUAGGAACACCUUAAUAAUCAGUGGAGAUUUCCAGUCACUUUAUGAUGUGUCAUGAGAGAAACUUUUGGUUAUUUAGAUCACAACUGAAAAAAAUAACACAGAAGAAUCUAGUGACUUUCACUCCCCCAUGGCUUCUGAUGCUUUUGUAAGUAGCAAUUCUCUACACUAAAUAUAUUUUUGCUUGAGGUACCUAAAGUAGAAUGAUGUUCCUUCACACAACUAUGAAUGAAACAGACCAGAGCACCAAAGUGUUUCCAAGAACAAGACCACCAAAAAUGGCAGCUAAGGGUAGUUUUACAUCUGCAGGUAUUUUUGGAAGGUCCUAAGUGGAAAGUACUGGAUUUCCAUGGCAUGAAAUAGCAAGUAACUCCUUAGAUUAUCAAGUGUGUCUGAACAAAGUGCCCUUUGAAGGUAGGACUUACACUAACUCAACUCUUUUUUGGAUAUUAACCCCUUCCUUGUCAGACAUGUGAUUCUCAAAUAUUUUCUCCAAUUCCAUAGGUUGACUUUUUAUUUUUAGAUCAUUUCCUUUGCAAUGCAUAGGUUUUAAGCCUGAGGCAGUCCCACUUGUUUAAUUUUGUUUUGCUGUCUUUGCUUUAGUUGUUGAAUCAAAAAAAUCAUUGCCAAGAUCAUUGUCAAAUUCUUGGGUCAAAGAAUGUACCCCCAAUGUUUUCUUCUAGGAAUUUUCUGUUUUCUGGUCUGUGUUUAAAUAUGUGAACCAUUUUGAGUUGAUUUUUGUGUAUGAUAUAAGAAAGGUCCAGGUUUAUUUGUGCACAUGGCUGUUCAGUUUUCCCAACAUGUUUGUUGAAGAGACUAUACUUUCUGCCUUAUAGUCUUGCCUCCUUUGUCAUAAACUAAUUGAUCAUUGAUAUGUGGGUUUAUUUUUGGGUUUUCUCUUCUAUUGCAUUCAUCUAUCUCUGUUUUUAUGUCAAUACUAUAUUGUUUUGACUGUUGUAGCUUUGUAAUAUAAUUUUAAAUCAAGGAGCAUGAAGCAUCCAGCUUUGUCUUUCUCAAGGUUGUCUCAACUAUUUGGGUCCUUUUUGGUUCUGUACACAUCAUCUGUGAAAGAUACCAUGGGAAUUUUGAUAGAGAUUUCAUUGACUCUAUGUAUUGCUCUUGCUGACAUGGGUGUUUUAACUAUAUUAGGACUUCAUCUGUGAGCACAGAAUAUCCAUUAAUUUCUUUUUAACUUUUUCAAUUGACUGCAUUAAUGUCUUAUAAUUUUCAGUGUAAAGAUCUCUCAUUUUUCUUUGCUAAACUUAUUCCUGGGUAUUUUACUCAUUUGAUACAAUUAUAAUUUAUCACCUAAAGCUCUGGUCACAUUUUUUUGCUGUUAUUACUUACUUUUUUUUAAUGAAUAGACCUUCCAGCUAUUAUACCACCAUUUAUCAAGGGAGGUUGAUUGGAUAUUGAUCAUGCAACUCUAUGCAAUUGUGUUCUAUAUAAACACUCUAAUAAGUAACCUUCUGGGAGUUCCUGUUGUGGGGCAGUGGAAAUGAGUCUGAGCCAGUAUCCAUGAGGAUGCAGGUUCAAUCUGUGGCCUUGCUCAGUGGGUCGGGGAUCUGGUGUUGCUGUGAGCUGUGAUGUAGGUCGCAGACACAGCUUGGAUCCUGUGUUGCUGUGGCUGUGAAAUAGGCCAGCAGCUGUAGCUCUGAUUUCAACGCCUAGCCUGGGAACUUCCAUAUGCCACAAUUGCAGCCCUGAAAAGCAAAAAAAAAAAAAAAANAAAAAAAAAAAAAAAAAAAAA
RNAcentral lists this long non-coding RNA (3948 nucleotides) under Sus scrofa (pig). RNAcentral describes it as "lncRNA (ENSSSCG00060029582.1)". The record is from RNAcentral. Lineage: Eukaryota; Metazoa; Chordata; Mammalia; Artiodactyla; Suidae.